This 564-nucleotide ribosomal RNA is filed under the name uncultured Alphaproteobacteria bacterium. RNAcentral's name for it is "bacterial SSU rRNA". It matches the Rfam family "Bacterial small subunit ribosomal RNA", at positions 337 to 918 of the family's 1533-position model. Lineage: Bacteria; Pseudomonadati; Pseudomonadota; Alphaproteobacteria. The record is from RNAcentral.
UCCUACGGGAGGCAGCAGUGGGGAAUAUUGGACAAUGGGGGCAACCCUGAUCCAGCAAUGCCGCGUGAGUGAUGAAGGCCUUCGGGUUGUAAAGCUCUUUCACCCACGACGAUGAUGACGGUAGUGGGAGAAGAAGCCCCGGCUAACUUCGUGCCAGCAGCCGCGGUAAUACGAAGGGGGCUAGCGUUGUUCGGAGUUACUGGGCGUAAAGGGCGCGUAGGCGGCCUGAUCAGUCUGGUGUGAAAGCCCGGGGCUCAACCCCGGAAUUGCACUGGAGACGGUCAAGCUUGAGUGUGGGAGAGGAUGGUGGAAUUCCCAGUGUAGAGGUGAAAUUCGUAGAUAUUGGGAAGAACACCGGUGGCGAAGGCGGCCAUCUGGACCAUUACUGACGCUGAGGCGCGAAAGCGUGGGGAGCAAACAGGAUUAGAUACCCUGGUAGUCCACGCCGUAAACGAUGAGUGCUAGACGUCGGGGCCCUUAGGGCUUCGGUGUCGCAGCUAACGCAUUAAGCACUCCGCCUGGGGAGUACGGCCGCAAGGUUAAAACUCAAAGGAAUUGACGGGG